CCGACUCUAGUACUAGCCGUGCUGAACAACGUGGCAACACCGCUCACGUGACAAUCGGGAGUCCUAUUUUCAAUAAUGGGAGUCUUGUACUUCGGAUUAUAAUUAUCGCUUUUUUUCAUAGAAAAUAAUGUUAAAAUAUACAAUUCUUUAUUGAUUAUGUAUAAGCAAUAUAUAAAUAUUAUAACUAUGCGGUUUCAUGAAAAUUGAGGUAUGAAGCAAAAUGAAAUCAUCUUUGGAUCAAAUUGAAACAUUUAAGAAUUGAUAAAUGUGUAUAUGAGUUAAUAAAAACUUGAAACAAGCGAAAUUAUCGGAACGAAGCCAAAGAGGUUAUGUGAACAUGUGGAAAAGAGAAUGCAAAAAUUGGGACUCUAAAUUGGCAUCAUUUAUUAUGGCUUCCAUUAUUGCAUAUAUAUGUGUAAAUGAGGCUACCACUUCUUCAGUUGGAACAGAAAGGCCUCCUCUUUCAACUGCAUGGGACCCAUAGCCAGCUAUAUAUAGCAUGACUGAAUCAUCUAUAACACAAUUGGACAAGUAAUCAGUAUCAAAUAUUUCCUGAAAAGAAGUUACAUCAAUGGAAAGAUCAUGAAGAUCAUCACCACUUACAUCACAAAUCUGAAAUUUAUCUUUAAUGUCAGUGAAAGAAAACGAAGCUGCCGAUUUUGUAAAUAUAUGUUUUAAUCUAAUUUUUUUCUCUGCAUGAAGUGCUUCAUUAUAUGAAAUAUGA
Osmia bicornis bicornis is the source of this 724-nucleotide long non-coding RNA. RefSeq lists it as uncharacterized. NCBI's taxonomy places the organism in Eukaryota, Metazoa, Arthropoda, Insecta, Hymenoptera, Megachilidae. The transcript is spliced from 4 exons. The record is from RefSeq and is a predicted model, not a curated record.